This 223-nucleotide ribosomal RNA is filed under the name uncultured bacterium. RNAcentral's name for it is "partial 16S ribosomal RNA". It matches the Rfam family "Bacterial small subunit ribosomal RNA", at positions 328 to 539 of the family's 1533-position model. The record is from RNAcentral.
ACGCUCGACACCUACGGGAGACAGCAGUAGGGAAUCUUCCACAAUGGACGCAAGUCUGAUGGAGCAACGCCGCGUGAGUGAAGAAGGUUUUCGGAUCGUAAAGCUCUGUUGUUGGUGAAGAAGGAUAGAGGUAGUAACUGGCCUUUAUUUGACGGUAAUCAACCAGAAAGUCACGGCUAACUACGCGCCAGCAGCCGCGGUAAUCUGAGCGGGCUGGCAAGGC